AUGAGGCCCGUGUUCGUGGGGAACCUGGACUACGACACCCGCCACUCGGAGCUCGACCGCCUCUUCUACCGCUACGGCAGGAUCGAGCGCAUCGACAUGAAGUCAGGGUUUGCUUUUGUCUACUUUGAGGAUGAGCGUGAUGGUGAUGAUGCCAUACGGGCUCUGGAUGGUUAUCCCUUUGGCCCUGGGAGACGCAGACUUUCAGUGGAGUGGUCCCGGGGCGACCGUGGAACCAGACGUGAUGACCGUGAUGGCUACAGUAAACCACCGGUGAAUACCAAGCCUACUAAGACACUGUUUGUCAUUAACUUUGACCCGAUCAACACAAGAGUCAGUGAUCUUGAAAGGCAUUUUGGUCAUUUUGGGAGGAUUUCAAAUGUUCGGAUAAGGAAGAACUUUGCUUUCGUGCAAUUUGAAACACAGGAAGAAGCCACAAAAGCCCUAGAUGCUACUCAUUUGACGAAGUUACUGGACAGAGUGAUUUCUGUUGAGUAUGCCUUCAGGGAUGAUAGUGAACCAGGUGACAAGUAUGACAGGCCAAGUAGAGGUGGUGGCUAUGGAAGGCAGGAUGACAGUUCAUAUCGCCGUUCUGUUAGCCCAAUGUACCGAAGGUCACGACCUAGUCCUGACUAUGGCCGUCCAGCAAGUCCUCAGUAUGGUGCAUAUGGCAGGAGCAGGAGUCCUGUUCGUGAUCGAUAUCGAAGAUCCCCAGCUCCCAACAGAAGAGGUUAUGACUGA
This 738-nucleotide ribosomal RNA is filed under the name Triticum aestivum (bread wheat). RNAcentral's name for it is "partial small subunit ribosomal RNA". Lineage: Eukaryota; Viridiplantae; Streptophyta; Magnoliopsida; Poales; Poaceae. The record is from RNAcentral.